GCCUUUGUGGUGUAACGGUAGCAUAUUCGGGCGUAUUUCAGAAGUCCAGGUUCGAAUCCCGGCGAGAGCA
RNAcentral lists this transfer RNA (70 nucleotides) under Stegodyphus mimosarum. It matches the Rfam family "tRNA". Rfam says of the family: Transfer RNA (tRNA) molecules are approximately 80 nucleotides in length. Lineage: Eukaryota; Metazoa; Arthropoda; Arachnida; Araneae; Eresidae. The record is from Rfam by way of RNAcentral.